UGUAUCUUGAUAUUGUUUAAAUUUGUGAAAUUGUAGAUUCAGAUGCCGAGAGGUGGUGUCGUUAUCACCGAAGAUCUUGCUUGAAUAAGAUCAAUGUGCAUGUGUGAUCUGUAACCAAGGGUUCCAAGGAGAUCAAAAUCUGCAGAUGCUUCUGAGAGACGACACAAGAUGACAUGGAAGUUGCUGAAACGGAUUUAACCGAGAUCAAGAAGAGGGUGUCCGUGUGUCCGGAACUGAGUUUUAUGGUGACAUGGAAGUUUUUGUUUUUUUUGUUCCUUAGGUUUCUGUAUAUCAAUUUCUUUUGUUUCUACAGUUCGAAUUUGUAAUAUGUUAUCAAUGAGUUUCAAUUUGUAGGUACUUGAUGGACAUAAUGAGGCAACAAUAGCUAUAUAUACCAAGAAGAAUCUUUUGAACAAUGAUUGAGCUCAUGUGAACAAGAUCAAAGGAGUUUUGAUUGGCUGAGACAAAAAAGACCACGGCCGAAAUCAAAGUAGGGAGACUCUUUUAGAGAAUGGGAGGAGGUUAUGUUGUCGAAAGUGUUGCUAGGAGUGAUGCAGGUUGAGACAAAAGUGCUUUUGUUACAAGUGUUGCAGGUUAUGUUGCAGUUGUUGCAUAAUUUGUACAUAACUUUUGAUUAGUAGUUUAUGUAUUUAGUAUUAAAAUUGAAAACUUAUGUAUGGAUUUUUGUUUAUUAGUGUUAAUAUAAUUAAUUUUAUUUUUA
Molecule: long non-coding RNA, 721 nt
Organism: Helianthus annuus (common sunflower)
Lineage: Eukaryota; Viridiplantae; Streptophyta; Magnoliopsida; Asterales; Asteraceae
Exons: 2
Source: RefSeq, a predicted model, not a curated record